GUUUUGUAAGAUGCAGCAACUGCUGUAAUGAUAGCUAGAGCAAACACAAGCCAGAUAAGCUAAACAACAGAUUACUUGUUGCCCACGUUAACGACUAGAAGAGCAGGAGAGUUAGUGUAAGAAAAUCAGUGUGAAGGAAAGUAAUACACUCUUUCAUUACAUUUUUUUUCCCCUAGGAGACAAUGAAGAACUUCAUGUCCAAGAAUUAUUACCUGAAUACGUCUUGGUUAUAAUAAAUGGCAAAGAUUCUUGGUUCUCACUUCAGCAAUUUAUAUACCAGUUAGCAUUACUGCAGCAGAUCUAACAAAUAAAUUGUGCCAUUCACAAACAGAUCACAUCACACUGAGUGCUGGAGCUUCUCUUGCAUGGGCAAAUUCUUGCAUGCCUGCAGAUGAGAUGGAGAGGAGCAUGAAGCUAACAGGAUUACAAGGAUCAGCAGAUACAGCAUUGCCUCUCCAGCCUUCCAAAGGCAUUCUCCAGCUUCAGAGAGUCACAAGGCUAGUAUCAAAGGAACAGGAUUAAAACAACGAUCUCGUUAAGUUCCCAAAUGGCAGGGUAACAUUAUGGCCAGCAACUCUGGCAGUAGGAACUGAGAGAGAAGGAAGAGAAGAAUAGGGAAACUGUUCAUCACAGGUCUGUGGAUAAAUUAUUUCAAAGUUAAGGUAAGGUGCAGUCUCUUUUUUCUGGUGAGGUUAUUGGUUUCACAGGACUUUUCUAUGUAAGUCUUUAUGGUGUCCAGACUGUUCAUCCUUCUCUAUCACCAGAACAUCUAGAGCAGUACUCCAGAGAAUCAGC
RNAcentral lists this long non-coding RNA (795 nucleotides) under Gallus gallus (chicken). RNAcentral's name for it is "long non-coding RNA NONGGAT008859". The record is from RNAcentral. Lineage: Eukaryota; Metazoa; Chordata; Aves; Galliformes; Phasianidae.